This is a long non-coding RNA of Haliotis rufescens (red abalone), 210 nucleotides long. RefSeq lists it as uncharacterized. Lineage: Eukaryota; Metazoa; Mollusca; Gastropoda; Lepetellida; Haliotidae. The transcript is spliced from 2 exons. The record is from RefSeq and is a predicted model, not a curated record.
GAAAGAAAUACACAGUCAAUACAAGGUAAAAGGUAAAGGACCAACAAUAUCUAUGGCCAGAGAUUCCAUAGGAGCCCGUACAGUAAACUGUUGUAAUGGAGACCUGCCUCGUCCUAGACCUGAUUUACAGCAUGCACACAAGUCUCAAGAUUUCAACCAUCCUUUAAUGUCCUUAGACAUUCCUGGCAAAUAAAAUCUUGUUUUGAUAGA